This 657-nucleotide ribosomal RNA is filed under the name uncultured archaeon. Its description in RNAcentral is "bacterial SSU rRNA". It matches the Rfam family "Archaeal small subunit ribosomal RNA", at positions 175 to 817 of the family's 1478-position model. The record is from RNAcentral.
AUGGGUUUUGGUCCAAAUGGCGUAACAGCAUCUUGUUAUUUCCGCCCAAGGAUGGGACUGCGGCCGAUCAGGCUGUUGGUGGGGUAAAGGCCCACCAAACCAGUAACCGGUACGGGCUUUGAGAGAAGGAGCCCGGAGAUGGACACUGAGACAAGGGUCCAGGUCCUACGGGGCGCAGCAGGCGCGAAACCUUCGCAAUGCGCGCAAGCGCGACGAGGUUAUUCUGAGUGAUUUCCGCUGAGGAGAUCUUUUCUUAGAUCUAAAAAGUCUGGGGAAUAAGGGGAGGGCAAGUCUGGUGUCAGCCGCCGCGGUAAUACCAGCUCCUCGAGUGGUCAGGGCGUUUAUUGGGCCUAAAGCAUCCGUAGCCUGCUUAGUAGGUCUCCUGUUAAAUCCAACGGCUCAACCGUUGGUCUGCAGGAGAUACCGCUGGGCUAGGAGGCGGGAGAGGCGGACGGUACUCCGAGGGUAGGGGUAAAAUCCCUUGAUCCCCGGAAGACCACCAGUGGCGAAGGCGGUCCGCCAGAACGCGCUCGACGGUGAGGGAUGAAAGCUGGGGGAGCGAACCGGAUUAGAUACCCGGGUAGUCCCAGCUGUAAACGAUGCGAGCUAGGUGACACGACGCCUUCGGGGCAUCGUGGUGCCGCAGGGAAGCCGUUA